GGGUUGUGAGGUUAAGCGACUAAGCGUACACGGUGGAUGCCCUGGCAGUCAGAGGCGAUGAAGGACGUGCUAAUCUGCGAUAAGCGUCGGUAAGGUGAUAUGAACCGUUAUAACCGGCGAUUUCCGAAUGGGGAAACCCAGUGUGUUUCGACACACUAUCAUUAACUGAAUCCAUAGGUUAAUGAGGCGAACCGGGGGAACUGAAACAUCUAAGUACCCCGAGGAAAAGAAAUCAACCGAGAUUCCCCCAGUAGCGGCGAGCGAACGGGGAGCAGCCCAGAGCCUGAAUCAGUGUGUGUGUUAGUGGAAGCGUCUGGAAAGGCGCGCGAUACAGGGUGACAGCCCCGUACACAAAAAUGCACAUAUUGUGAGCUCGAUGAGUAGGGCGGGACACGUGGUAUCCUGUCUGAAUAUGGGGGGACCAUCCUCCAAGGCUAAAUACUCCUGACUGACCGAUAGUGAACCAGUACCGUGAGGGAAAGGCGAAAAGAACCCCGGCGAGGGGAGUGAAAAAGAACCUGAAACCGUGUACGUACAAGCAGUGGGAGCACGCUUCGGCGUGUGACUGCGUACCUUUUGUAUAAUGGGUCAGCGACUUAUAUUCUGUAGCAAGGUUAACCGAAUAGGGGAGCCGAAGGGAAACCGAGUCUUAACUGGGCGUUAAGUUGCAGGGUAUAGACCCGAAACCCGGUGAUCUAGCCAUGGGCAGGUUGAAGGUUGGGUAACACUAACUGGAGGACCGAACCGACUAAUGUUGAAAAAUUAGCGGAUGACUUGUGGCUGGGGGUGAAAGGCCAAUCAAACCGGGAGAUAGCUGGUUCUCCCCGAAAGCUAUUUAGGUAGCGCCUCGUGAAUUCAUCUCCGGGGGUAGAGCACUGUUUCGGCAAGGGGGUCAUCCCGACUUACCAACCCGAUGCAAACUGCGAAUACCGGAGAAUGUUAUCACGGGAGACACACGGCGGGUGCUAACGUCCGUCGUGAAGAGGGAAACAACCCAGACCGCCAGCUAAGGUCCCAAAGUCAUGGUUAAGUGGGAAACGAUGUGGGAAGGCCCAGACAGCCAGGAUGUUGGCUUAGAAGCAGCCAUCAUUUAAAGAAAGCGUAAUAGCUCACUGGUCGAGUCGGCCUGCGCGGAAGAUGUAACGGGGCUAAACCAUGCACCGAAGCUGCGGCAGCGACGCUUAUGCGUUGUUGGGUAGGGGAGCGUUCUGUAAGCCUGUGAAGGUGUGCUGUGAGGCAUGCUGGAGGUAUCAGAAGUGCGAAUGCUGACAUAAGUAACGAUAAAGCGGGUGAAAAGCCCGCUCGCCGGAAGACCAAGGGUUCCUGUCCAACGUUAAUCGGGGCAGGGUGAGUCGACCCCUAAGGCGAGGCCGAAAGGCGUAGUCGAUGGGAAACAGGUUAAUAUUCCUGUACUUGGUGUUACUGCGAAGGGGGGACGGAGAAGGCUAUGUUGGCCGGGCGACGGUUGUCCCGGUUUAAGCGUGUAGGCUGGUUUUCCAGGCAAAUCCGGAAAACUAAGGCUGAGGCGUGAUGACGAGGCACUACGGUGCUGAAGCGACAAAUGCCCUGCUUCCAGGAAAAGCCUCUAAGCAUCAGGUAACAUCAAAUCGUACCCCAAACCGACACAGGUGGUCAGGUAGAGAAUACCAAGGCGCUUGAGAGAACUCGGGUGAAGGAACUAGGCAAAAUGGUGCCGUAACUUCGGGAGAAGGCACGCUGAUAUGUAGGUGAAGCGACUUGCUCGUGGAGCUGAAAUCAGUCGAAGAUACCAGCUGGCUGCAACUGUUUAUUAAAAACACAGCACUGUGCAAACACGAAAGUGGACGUAUACGGUGUGACGCCUGCCCGGUGCCGGAAGGUUAAUUGAUGGGGUUAGCGGUAACGCGAAGCUCUUGAUCGAAGCCCCGGUAAACGGCGGCCGUAACUAUAACGGUCCUAAGGUAGCGAAAUUCCUUGUCGGGUAAGUUCCGACCUGCACGAAUGGCGUAAUGAUGGCCAGGCUGUCUCCACCCGAGACUCAGUGAAAUUGAACUCGCUGUGAAGAUGCAGUGUACCCGCGGCAAGACGGAAAGACCCCGUGAACCUUUACUAUAGCUUGACACUGAACAUUGAGCCUUGAUGUGUAGGAUAGGUGGGAGGCUUUGAAGUGUGGACGCCAGUCUGCAUGGAGCCGACCUUGAAAUACCACCCUUUAAUGUUUGAUGUUCUAACGUGGACCCGUAAUCCGGGUUGCGGACAGUGUCUGGUGGGUAGUUUGACUGGGGCGGUCUCCUCCUAAAGAGUAACGGAGGAGCACGAAGGUUGGCUAAUCCUGGUCGGACAUCAGGAGGUUAGUGCAAUGGCAUAAGCCAGCUUGACUGCGAGCGUGACGGCGCGAGCAGGUGCGAAAGCAGGUCAUAGUGAUCCGGUGGUUCUGAAUGGAAGGGCCAUCGCUCAACGGAUAAAAGGUACUCCGGGGAUAACAGGCUGAUACCGCCCAAGAGUUCAUAUCGACGGCGGUGUUUGGCACCUCGAUGUCGGCUCAUCACAUCCUGGGGCUGAAGUAGGUCCCAAGGGUAUGGCUGUUCGCCAUUUAAAGUGGUACGCGAGCUGGGUUUAGAACGUCGUGAGACAGUUCGGUCCCUAUCUGCCGUGGGCGCUGGAGAACUGAGGGGGGCUGCUCCUAGUACGAGAGGACCGGAGUGGACGCAUCACUGGUGUUCGGGUUGUCAUGCCAAUGGCACUGCCCGGUAGCUAAAUGCGGAAGAGAUAAGUGCUGAAAGCAUCUAAGCACGAAACUUGCCCCGAGAUGAGUUCUCCCUGACCCUUUAAGGGUCCUGAAGGAACGUUGAAGACGACGACGUUGAUAGGCCGGGUGUGUAAGCGCAGCGAUGCGUUGAGCUAACCGGUACUAAUGAACCGUGAGGCUUAACCUUACAACGCCGAAG
This 2927-nucleotide ribosomal RNA is filed under the name Escherichia sp. E1S7. RNAcentral's name for it is "23S ribosomal RNA". It matches the Rfam family "Bacterial large subunit ribosomal RNA". The record is from RNAcentral. Lineage: Bacteria; Pseudomonadati; Pseudomonadota; Gammaproteobacteria; Enterobacterales; Enterobacteriaceae.